UGCCAGACUCCUACGGGAGGCAGCAGUGAGGAAUAUUGGUCAAUGGGCGCGAGCCUGAACCAGCCAAGUCGCGUGAGGGAGGACGGCCCUACGGGUUGUAAACCUCUUUUGCCGGGGAGCAACGGGCGUCACGUGUGGCGCCACUGAGAGUACCCGGAGAAAAAGCAUCGGCUAACUCCGUGCCAGCAGCCGCGGUAAUACGGAGGAUGCGAGCGUUAUCCGGAAUUACUGGGUGUAAAGGGAGCGUAGGCGGGCGAGAAAGUUGAAUGUUAAAUCUACCGGCUUAACUGGUAGCUGCGUUCAAAACUUCUUGUCUUGAGUGAAGUAGAGGCAGGCGGAAUUCCUAGUGUAGCGGUGAAAUGCGUAGAUAUUAGGAGGAACACCAGUGGCGAAGGCGGCCUGCUGGACGACAACUGACGGUGAGGCGCGAAAGCGUGGGGAGCAAACAGGAUUAGAUACCCCCGUA
RNAcentral lists this ribosomal RNA (466 nucleotides) under uncultured bacterium. RNAcentral describes it as "bacterial SSU rRNA". It matches the Rfam family "Bacterial small subunit ribosomal RNA", at positions 329 to 792 of the family's 1533-position model. The record is from RNAcentral.